Molecule: long non-coding RNA, 1172 nt
Filed under: Pogona vitticeps (central bearded dragon)
Lineage: Eukaryota; Metazoa; Chordata; Lepidosauria; Squamata; Agamidae
Description: lncRNA (ENSPVIG00000012502.1)
Source: RNAcentral
CAUCCUGGGCAGAAACCGUUGUCCAUGGCUCCAGCUUUUGCAGAAUGGACAUCCGCUGGCUUCUUUCCGGCCAUCUUUGCUGUGUCCCUCUUUGCAGCCGCUUGUUUCCUGGCUCUGUGCGCUUCCUGCAAAAGGACGGACAACAACAGAAUGCCAGCCCAAGAUGAGGAAUUGCGGGAUGAAGCUGCUCUGCUGAGACAGAUGGAGCUUUUACCCCUCAAGGGUUCGGCCUCUAACCUGCCAAAGCUCAAGAGGGCCAAUUCCAGAGGAAAAAAUCAAAGCUCGGCUGGAGUCAGCGUCUCUUAUGAAGAUGAUGGGACUGUGUCCAGCUGCAGUUUCAUCAUCCUCCCGCAAAGAGAUUUGCCCCAGACCCCCUCAGAGGAUCCGUUGCCUCCGGAGGAAAUGUAUUCAAACCUGACCUUCCCGAAACGAGCCCUGGAGGUGUUCUAUGAAUCUGUAAAGGUGAAUGAAGAAGAACCUGAGGAGACCUGUGUGAUCCCAGAGGAAGCUGCUGGUGGGGUCCAGGCGGACCAGCCUGUGGAGGUGGCCUAUGCCCGCGUGCUGAAAGGAAAGCAGAAGAAAAACCACAGCGGACCGGAGGUGGGGGCGUCUCAGGAGCCUUGCCCAGGAGGGACAGUUUUGACUCCAACUGUGCAGGUGCAAGACAUGUACUCUGUGGUAUGUAAGAACAAGAGGAAAACAGCCCACAGCUGUGAGGGGCUUGGUGACGAGAGAACCUCUCCAAUGAAGGCAAGCCCAGGAAACUGCCGCAGGGUGUCUGUCGGUGAUGAGGAAUCAGGUGGCAGGCCAGGAGACUGGUCCCCCUCAUCCUUCGAGUCCCCCGUGACUGAACCUUGCUAUGAGUCCGUCCGUUGCAGAUCCUGGGGAGACGCAGGCAGGGAGAAAACCACCGAACCGGCUUACGAGACUGUAGACAUCCUCUGGGAAAAUCCAAGGGCAAAAAAGAAGUUGAAGAAGAAAGUUCCUGCAGAAAACCUAUACGAGAGUAUUGAAAACUUGGCCUUUCAGUGCCAGAAUCUAAACAUGGCAUCCCGUUUUGAACUCUGAUUCCUUUGGACUUUGCCCCCUCUCCACUUGUUCGUGGGGUAUUUCCAAUACUGUAAAAUGAAUGAACGAAUAAACCCAGCAGAACCUUUAUAAAAUACUAGUGC